This 264-nucleotide long non-coding RNA is filed under the name Prunus persica (peach). RNAcentral describes it as "long non-coding RNA (PPER_LNC006406)". Lineage: Eukaryota; Viridiplantae; Streptophyta; Magnoliopsida; Rosales; Rosaceae. The record is from RNAcentral.
UGAGGAAGAGGCUAUUGAUGACUCAAUGACUUUUAGCAUUCAGAGUGCUGCUUCUGUUUCUAAUAUGGCUGAUCGUUUGCGUGCUAGAGCAAACGAGGUUCAGAUUUUAACAACUGAAAAUUCGUCUCUCCAAAGAAUGCUUCAUGAGUCUCAACAGGAGGUUGAGAAACUUAAAGGAGAGAAUAAUGCCUUGUUGAAACUGGUGAGUUCGUACUCUGUUGAUACACUCAGAAGGCUAGACAUGCUGCAGGUCUCCAAUGAAAG